RNAcentral lists this unclassified non-coding RNA (288 nucleotides) under Hevea brasiliensis (rubber tree). Lineage: Eukaryota; Viridiplantae; Streptophyta; Magnoliopsida; Malpighiales; Euphorbiaceae. The record is from RNAcentral.
AGCGGCCGCUAAGUUUGCCUUUUUGCAGCUGAAGAAAAUCCUUCCGGAUGCUUCUGAACCGAUUCAACAUCUCGUCUCUCACUGGGGAACAGACCCAAAUUCUCUUGGCUCCUACAGCUACGAUGCAGUCGGAAAACCUCAUGGUCUUUACGAGAGGCUGCGUAUCCCAGUCGACCACCUCUUCUUCGCAGGGGAAGCCACGAGUACCGACUACACUGGCACUGUGCAUGGUGCCUUCUCCACUGGGCUUUUGGCAGCACAAGAGUGUCGAAUGCGUGUUCUGGAAAG